CUGGGUACAGCUCAGUGGUGGAGCGCAUGCUUAGCAUGCACGAGGUCCUGGGUUCAAUCCCCAGCACCCCAA
RNAcentral lists this transfer RNA (72 nucleotides) under Camelus bactrianus (Bactrian camel). It matches the Rfam family "tRNA". Rfam says of the family: Transfer RNA (tRNA) molecules are approximately 80 nucleotides in length. RNAcentral also lists the same sequence under 2 other names. Lineage: Eukaryota; Metazoa; Chordata; Mammalia; Artiodactyla; Camelidae. The record is from Rfam by way of RNAcentral.